UUUUCAGGAAAUGAGAAUUCCUUCGGCAAAAGGAGAAGCUGAUUUGCAGAAGUGCUGAGCAUGCCUGAGAGAGAUGGGAGUGAUCAAGACCAGGAGUGCCAUUUGGAUGUGCAGAGUUGAGGUGACAUCUGCCUGGAGAGAUUCAGGAGGCAGCCGAACUACACUCACCAGGGAGAUACCAGGGUUCGUCAUGGGCAGCAAUGACUACGAUGGACAAGAAGAUAGAGGCCCUAAUCCUAAUUUUCUGAGCACCAUGGAAGCCCCCUGGAUUCUAGGGAGACCUUGAGGAGAAAGCAGACUCCCGUAAAUGCCUGACAUUGAAAUUCCUGCAAGUCUAGGAGCAUGUGAACUCAAAAUGGAAAUUAAUUUG
This 370-nucleotide small RNA is filed under the name Pan troglodytes (chimpanzee). Its description in RNAcentral is "processed transcript". Lineage: Eukaryota; Metazoa; Chordata; Mammalia; Primates; Hominidae. The record is from RNAcentral.